GAAAACUUCAAUAAAUGGAGAAGUGAAUUCAGAUAUUCUCCUGCAACUUUCUAAUAGAGUGUCAGAUGUACCGAUUUCCAAAGUAUCAGAAAAUGAUUUCUCUGAGGAAGAGUGUCAGGAUUUGCAUCAUAGAGUGAAAGAUGGCCUGCUUAGAAGGCCUACUGUUGCAGAGUUUGAGGAGAAGGCCAGAAGUCUCCAUGAGAUUAUAACAAAAAAUUGGAUUGCCAAAGAACUGGUUGCACUAUCAAAUCUCAUUAAUCAGGCAAACGAGAAGGGAUGGAGAAAAGAAUAUCCU
Long non-coding RNA from Populus nigra (black poplar), 295 nucleotides. RefSeq lists it as uncharacterized. The transcript is spliced from 4 exons. NCBI's taxonomy places the organism in Eukaryota, Viridiplantae, Streptophyta, Magnoliopsida, Malpighiales, Salicaceae. The record is from RefSeq and is a predicted model, not a curated record.